Molecule: long non-coding RNA, 1472 nt
Filed under: Homo sapiens (human)
Lineage: Eukaryota; Metazoa; Chordata; Mammalia; Primates; Hominidae
Description: long intergenic non-protein coding RNA 1478
Source: RNAcentral
AUUCACACGAUGCAUUUUCUUUUCUUAUCACCAAACUGUUUUGAAAGAUAAAAGUACUUCCUGAAUAUGUGGAUGGUGAGCCACGUGAAUGGAAGACAUGGAGAUAUGGACUGUUAACACCUUGUCAAACAUUUAUUGUCCCUUCCACCUCUAAACUUCUGUGAUAAUAGGUGAACAGGACCCACGUGGUGCAGAAUACUGCGAUACACACUGCGGAAUAAUUCAGUGCAGAACAACACGUGGAUUGCUCAGUACAACUUGUUCAUCACAUCCUCCUGUUCACUGAAGAAUUAUGGAAAUAUUCUCUGAGCUGCUUUCCUCCCUGCCCAACGAGUCAUCUCUGUGUGAAAGGCCAAGCUUAUAAAUCCUGGGACUGGGAGUUGGAGAGGGGAGACUGGAGAGAGUAGGAAGAAGAAAGAGACAUUAUACAAAUGCAAGCUGUUGUCACAACAAUGAUAAGAAAUCAGGAGUCGAAAGAUGUGGAGUAAGGGGGAAUUUCAGAGAAACCACAAAACACAAAAUAGGAAACAGAGACAGGAGAAGAUUGCUAUGACAAAAUUGCAGAAGGUGAAAUCUUUGGCAGCCUCUUAUUUCUCUGGAGAAUAUGAUAUUGUCAGGCUGAGGUGGAAGAAUCACAUGGUCAUACUGUUGAAGAGGUCUUGAAACAUUGGGCUUUCCUCUACAAGCGGAAGGAUAGCACUGGCAGCCAUCCACUGGCCCAGCAAUAUCCUGGAUUGAGACGAUAUCAUUUGCAUUACUUGCUGAAUGAAACAUAGUGAAAAUGACUGCAGAUAACCUCAACUAAGUCCAAGAUAUCAUUUUCAAAUCUGGACCAGCCCUUGCCAUCUAGACUGAACAGAGAUUCCAGUUUCCAGGAGAGUAGAUGGAGUAAUGAUAAAAGCACCUCCCAAAACUUUUGCCUUGUGAUUGGCAAAAAAGAGAGACAUCAAUAUGGACUGAAGUCACAGAAUGAGUUUCCUGGGAGAGAUGCUUCUUGAUAUGACCCUAGAAGCUCCAUCAAAACUUAUAAAAUCUUGGGAAGAGGAACUGUGGCCCAUCACUGAUCAUUUCAUCUAUUAAGUGACCACUUAUUGUCUUAUAAUAGGAGAUGUUCUGGAAACAUGCAUUGAAUCGAAGUGGCUUUGAGGAAGCAUGAAGAGAAAACAGGAUGGCAUCCUUUUGGCACCAUUUCUUAUGCUAUAAUAAGGAUUCCUUCUGUUUACACAUAAAACAGAAGAGUUUAAUCACCCCAGCAAUCUUUAACUUGGUAAUGAAGGCCAUAAAUUAAAUUUUAAGCAAAGUUAAAGAAGAUGAGAUGAAAUAUAAAACAAAAACAUCAUCAGAAUCUGCCCAGGAACAAUAUUCUUGACACCAAACCAUGACAUUAUGGGGCUCAGUUGUUUGUUUCUAGGGCAGCCCCUUGUUUUAUGUGCCAAAUAGCAUUUCCCUAAAUAAAACUGCAUGGAACAAAA